This 2040-nucleotide ribosomal RNA is filed under the name Triticum aestivum (bread wheat). RNAcentral describes it as "partial small subunit ribosomal RNA". The record is from RNAcentral. Lineage: Eukaryota; Viridiplantae; Streptophyta; Magnoliopsida; Poales; Poaceae.
AUGAAUGAUAACAAAUUAACAGGAUCUCUUCCUCAGGGUUUUGGAGAUCUCAAGAACAUAGUCGGCCUUAAUCUGGCUGAUAACUCCCUUUCUGGACCUUUGCCUAUGAAUAUAUGUACCGGCGGCAGUCUCAGAGCUUUUGUAAUGUCUCUGAAUAUGUUCAAUGGCUCAGUUCCAUGGAGCUUAAAGACCUGUACAAGUUUGACUGGACUUUACCUUGACGGAAACCAACUGACAGGAGAUAUAUCUCACCAUUUUGGAGUUUAUCCACAACUUAGGCACAUAUGGUUGACGUCCAAUAGACUCUCUGGGAGCAUUGCACCAAAGUGGGGAGACUGCCCCCAACUAAAGGAAUUCAAGCUAGGACAAAACAUGAUUACGGGUCAAAUACCUCCCACCCUAUCAAAAUUAUCCAAUUUGGUAGACCUAACACUCGAUUCUAACCACAUAACUGGUUGGAUUCCACCAGAGUUAGGACAUUUGAAAAAUCUUUAUAUCUUGAAUCUGUCACUCAAUCAGUUAUCAGGCCCUGUACCUUUGNNNUUGAGAAAUUUAGGACACCUUGAUUUAUCUGAAAACAGUUUGAGUGGAUCAAUACCAGAGGAAUUGGGAACCUGCAUAGAACUAUUGUUCUUGAAGAUCAACACCAACAACUUCACUGGAAAAUUGCCUGGUGCAAUUGGAAAUUUAGCAAGUCUACAGAUGAUGUUAGAUGCCAGCAAUAACAAACUUGAAGGUGUCUUGCCAAAAGAUCUUGGAAAGUUGGAGAUGCUGGAAUUUCUUAAUUUAUCCCAUAACCAGUUCAGUGGAAACAUUCCAUCCUCCUUCGCAAGCAUGGUGAGCCUAUCGACACCUGAUGUGUCCUACAACGACUUGGAAGGACCACUCCCAAUAGGACAUGCACUUCAAAAUGCUUCAAUAAAUUGGUUUCUUCACAAUAAAGCUCUGUGCGGUAACUUCUCUGGACUGCUACCUUGUUACUCAACUCCAGCAUCUGGUCGCCAUAAACAAAAGAUACAAAGUUUCCUCCUGCCAAUUGUUCUUGUUGUGGGGUUUUCCACCAUUGCUACAAUUGCUAUCAUUGCAAUUCUGAUACGUAGCAAGAAAAAGAAACAACAAAGUGGUGCUACAGAUGAGGGGAGGAACAUGUUCUCUAUUUGGAAUUUUGAAGGACGACUAGCAUUUGAUGAUAUUAUCAGGGCAACAGAAAAUUUUGAUGACAAGUACAUCCUUGGAGCAGGAGGACAUGGAAAAGUCUACAAGGCACAACUCGAAGACGGGCAGCUAGUUGCUGUAAAGAAAUUCCAUCCAACAGAAGAAGAGUUGAUUGAUGAGAGAGGAUUUCACAGUGAAAUGGAAAUCUUAACACAGAUUCGACAAAGAAGUAUUGUCAAACUCUAUGGAUUUUGCUCCCAUCCAACGUACAAGUUUCUUGUCUAUGAUUACAUUCAGCGUGGAAGUCUCCACACGACUUUACAAGAUGAGGAAUUAGCCAAGGGAUUGAAUUGGCAUAAGAGAGCUGCCCUUAUAAAUGAUGUUGCUCAGGCAAUAUCCUAUUUGCACAAUGACUGUAGUCCUCCUAUAAUUCAUCGAGAUAUCACAAGCAACAACAUCCUACUUGAUACAAAUUUUAAGGCUUAUGUCUCAGAUUUUGGUACAGCAAGGAUUUUGAAGCCUGAUACAUCAAACUGGAGUGCACUAGCAGGGACAUAUGGCUACAUUGCUCCUGAGUUGUCCUACACUUCUGUUGUGACAGAGAAAUGUGAUGUGUACAGCUGUGGUGUGCUUGUGCUAGAGGUGUUGAUAGGGAAGCAUCCAAGAGAUCUACUCCAACAUCUUGCCUUAUCAACAGAGCCAUAUACUCUUGUCAAUGAAAUCUUGGACCAACGGCCUUCUGCACCAACAACAAUAGAAGAGAAAAACAUAGUUUUCCAAAUCAAGGUAGUAUUUUCUUGCUUGAAAGCUUCCCCUCAAGCAAGGCCAACAAUGCAGGAGAUCUGCCAGAUGCUCAUCCAUUAUGAAUCUUCCACUUCAGUGUGA